This is a transfer RNA of Loxodonta africana (African savanna elephant), 74 nucleotides long. It matches the Rfam family "tRNA". Rfam says of the family: Transfer RNA (tRNA) molecules are approximately 80 nucleotides in length. Lineage: Eukaryota; Metazoa; Chordata; Mammalia; Proboscidea; Elephantidae. The record is from Rfam.
CCCUGGGUGGUAUAAAUGGUUAAUGCACUUGGUUGCUAACUAAAAGGUUGGUGGUUCAAGUCCACCCAGAGGCA